RNAcentral lists this microRNA precursor (117 nucleotides) under Mus pahari (shrew mouse). RNAcentral's name for it is "microRNA 6339 (MGP_PahariEiJ_G0007363.1)". Lineage: Eukaryota; Metazoa; Chordata; Mammalia; Rodentia; Muridae. The record is from RNAcentral.
GGCAGCAGACGUCUGAGGAUGCCCUGGUCCUCAGUGUUGGGCUGAGAAAGCAGCUGACGGGACACCAUCAUGGCAGGUCUGAAGCUUGGGGAGCUGGUCUCCUACACACACUCAGGU